RNAcentral lists this unclassified non-coding RNA (2651 nucleotides) under Leishmania donovani. RNAcentral's name for it is "gene:LdHU3.34.3350(CDS-product:Thioredoxin/Thiore doxin-like_domain/Thioredoxin-like_putative)". The record is from RNAcentral. Lineage: Eukaryota; Euglenozoa; Kinetoplastea; Trypanosomatida; Trypanosomatidae.
CACGACGACCCCCCACACUCUACACACACACACACACACAUCGCACACGUUUUGGAGAAGAGUACGCCCUGAACAAGAGCACCAAACAAAACACGUUCUCUUUCGUUUUUCUUCGACGUGUUGUCUUGUUUUUACACAGCUCGCGGGAUCACCAGUACCACAGAAGAAGGUAGUCUGCCGACCUUCACACGCAGAAGCUGUGCGGUCCAAGACGCGGCUUGCUCGGCCUGCACGUUGUGUUUCUGUACGACGGUGCUUCUGGUUGCAGCAAUUUCGCGCCCGUGAAGGACCUUGCACAGCGCCCUGUUUGUUUCUCCUCCCGUUGGGCACAGUGUGACUACUUCCUCGCAGCAUUUCUUUUCGUUUUUCUUUCGUAUUUCCUCUGACGGCGCUCUGUUCUCCGAUCCCUCCUCAUUGGCUCGUUAUGACUGUUCCGUUUCUGCUCUCGCUGUCUUCUCUGUUGGACUCUUAUCGUUGACCUCUUCUCCCCUCUCGGCGACCCUCUUCACGCCACCACUCAGAGGCACACGCAGCGUUGGCUAUUAAACUUAUUCCUCCGUUCGACUCCGUCGGUCGUGCCGCGGACUCUUCUUGAUCUCUGUGUCGACGCUGCAGAGAAUGUGCCGUAGCACCCCAUCAGCAGUGCAGCUCCUUGGAGCGCUUUUUGCGGUCGCGUGUCUCGUGCACACGUCGUUGGCGUACCCGUACGGACGGUCGUCGGCUGUCACAGAGCUGACGCCUGCCUCGCUGCACGCAUUUGUUAAUACACACAAGCCGGUGGUCAUCCUCUUUUAUGCGCCGUGGUGUGGCCACUGCAAGCAGUUCCACCCCGAGUAUGAGCGAUUUGCCGAGUCGGUGAAAGGCACCAUCCGCGUUGGCGCGAUCGACGCUGACAAGAACGCCGACAUUGGACAGCAGUUUGGCGUGCGUGGCUUUCCGACGAUCAAGUACUGGAAGAGCGGCACAAAGUCCGUCUCCUCCUCGCAGGAGUACCAAGGCCAACGCACAGCGGCGGCGCUGCAGAGUUUGGUGGUCGAGGGAAUCAGCUCGAGCAAGGUCAUGACAGUGACGACAGCAGAGCAGAUGAAGCAGGCCGCUCGAGACGCGCCAAAGAAGAUGAUCGGUGUGCUGCUCUCCGCGAAGAACAAGGUACCGCCGAUGUUUUCGGUCAUGGGCAUGUCGCCGAAGCUGAAGGAGCUGCCGCUGGUGUUCGCGGGUAGCAGUAGCCCUGAAAAGGGUGUGGCGAAGGCCUUUGGCGUCUCGCAACUCCCAAUGAUCGGCGUACUGCGCUACACCCCGGCCGAAGGUGAUGCAGAGGAGAAGUUUGAGAUGGUGCCGUACGCGAAAAAGGCUAUCGCCUAUGAGCCCGUCGCGCGCUUCUUCUUGGAUUGCGCGGAGAAGGAGUGCAGCGCCGGCACGGAGGCCCCAAUGAACUCCGUGAGCCUUGACGAGGAUGAAAGCCAGCACCAGACACGAGAAGCCGCGCGGCAGUCCUCUGUAGCACUUCCGGUAGAACCGGUCGAAUACACGCCAAAAGUGAUAUCACUGUUUUGCGCGCCGCAGACCCGCAAGAUUCGCGGCCAGUCCCCCCUGUGCGUUUUCAGCCUUAGCGAGCACGUCAACCUCGACAAUGUGCACCAGUACUUCAAGAACGACCCGUUGCUUUUCUUCGAGGCAUCUCAGCACAAGGAAGAGUUGCUGCAGCAGCUCCAAGCCGACUUUGGUGUGCAGAUAGCGUCUACUGGGGAGGCGAUGACGUCUUUGGCGGGGUCCAUUGUGGUUCUGCGCCAUUCGAAGCCGACAACAGUGCGGUACGCGCUGCUGGAGAAUAUUGACUCCGACGACGAUUUACAGGCAGCCCUGCAGCGCAUUCUGAAUGGUGAGGUUCACCUCCGGUCGGAGCGCGUUGGAGCUGCGUAGGCGCUCGCAUCCUUUGCCAUGUCGCCUUGGCAAGAGCCACGAAGAUGAAAGAGGGCGAAGAUUCUGGUUUGCAUUUUCCUCCCUCUCUUUCUCUACUGCCAGCUCCGUCAUUGCUCUGCGCGCGUUGCACUGCCUCGUCGCGGUGCCUGCGCACCGCUCUGGCGACUGUGGCUCGCGUUUCAUGAAAUCGUAUCUCCCCACGAGUGCGUUGAUGUUGUCGUGUCUUGUGUACGCUGUUCCUUUGACCUCGUCUCUUCUACAUCUUCGCGGUACAUCGCAUGGGCUUUUUUUUGCGCGCGUGUUUUUUUUUAUUCGUCUCACUUUAUCUUCCCUUUUUUCGUGCGUGCGUGUGUGCCCCGCCUUGGCGCGAGUGUGGCCUUUGUUCUCUCCUCUCGUUGCCAAUCUGUUUUGCGCUUUCCAUCUCCCUCGCCCUCCGCGCUUUCUCAUUUGAAUUGCUUCACCGGAUGGGUUUGUGUGCGCACCCGCCUGCCUUGUCUGUUGCCUUCAACGGAAAAGUCGAUGCUGCACAGGUGGUGACAACGGGUUCGCUACACUUGUCUGCAGAGAGAUUCGGAGAAUGCGUGGGAUGUCUGGUGGGGAAGGGCACGCGCCAGCUAAGGCUGAAGAGUGCCGCGCUCCGGUCUGGGUUUCAGACUCUACUCUGUCCGAGUGUGUGCGAAGCACUGGCUAAUCAAAAUACUCUUCUGGCACGUUGCCAGGGGCAAAGGAAG